UAGAAUUUAGUUGAAAUACAACAUUAAAUUGCAAGUUUAAAGGAAAUUAAUUUAAUUCUAU
Molecule: transfer RNA, 61 nt
Filed under: Hirudo nipponia
Lineage: Eukaryota; Metazoa; Annelida; Clitellata; Hirudinida; Hirudinidae
Description: tRNA-Cys
Source: RNAcentral